This 2482-nucleotide long non-coding RNA is filed under the name Podarcis lilfordi (Lilford's wall lizard). The record is from RNAcentral. Lineage: Eukaryota; Metazoa; Chordata; Lepidosauria; Squamata; Lacertidae.
GAAGAAGCAAAUGACCAGUCUCCCAGACACAGGAAAUACUAACCCACACUGCCUCCUUCUUUCCAUUUAUUGGACCUUAUCCAGGCUACCAUUGCACCCAAACAAGAGUCCAGACUAUGCACAGCCUCCCUCCCCCCUCAGAUGUUAUGAAGAAGUGGAGUUGUGUGUCAUUAGUGUAUGCCAGUUACUAUGCUUCAUAUAGAUGUUAAUCAACACUGGGAACAAGACUGUAACUUGUGGCAAAGACCAUGAAGCUGAAAUACAGUCUCCCAAUGCUAGUCUCCACACACGACCCUCUAGAUAGGAUUGGAACAGCUGUAAAACAGUGUCUCCAAUGCCCAUACCACAGAGUUGAUCAUGGAGGACACCAAGGUCUAUGGCAGGGUUUCCCAAAUGUGGAUCUUAAGCUGUUUUUGGACUACAACUCCCAUCAUCCCUAGCUAGCAGGACCAGUGGUCAGGGAUGAUGGGAAUUAUAGUCCAAAAACAGAUGCAGACCCAAGUUUGGGAAACCCUGGUCUAGAGUAUCAAAGCCACAGAAAGAUCGAGAAGCAGAAAGAGCCAUACUCGCCUGUUCUUGAUACGAGCCAUCCAUUAUGGCAACGAAAAACUGUGUCUGAACCCAGAUUGAAAUUGAGGUAAUUUGCAUCCUCUGGGAACUCCUGUAAUUAGGGAAUUUACACUUCACACACCAUAGUCUGCCAAGAUGUAGCAAGUGCCUCUGAAAGUACUGAAAGGACUCUUAGCUGAACUAGCAUUACAUAACAAACAGGUUGAUGAAAACAGGGAAGGAAUGGGGGAUUCUGCUGAUGGGUGACAGACAUUGGUCCCCACAUGAGAUGAAACAGACACUCAUGUGUGUGUGCACACACAGGUGUGCAAUCUAAGAAAAUUGUACUUAUUUUGGUCCUGAGAAAGAUGGAGCUCAGCUAAGUUGAUGAAUAUUAAAAACCCACCCCAUUUCCACUACACCACUGUCUGUUGCCAGUGCCUUUGCUGUGACAUUCAGAUCAUACCAAGAAACUCUGGAAGUGCCAAAACUGUCAUCUCAUGCGACUUUUUGUUAUCCUCCUUUGUCUCGGCACUGAAAGGAGCUAACGGUUUGCCCUUCCCUCCCUACAGAUUCACAAGCUGCAGCAGAAGGCUUGCCCUUUCUGCUGUUGAAUAGCAGCACCAACUCUUCCACUUAUUUGCAGUAUGACCUUGAACAGCUCAUUCAUUUCUCCCCAAUUUGCCCAACCAUGUGUGUUUUUUUAAAGGGAGGCUCACUGUAGCAUUACUCUGGUAUUGUGUGGGCUGAUUAGUUAAAUUUUGAACAGCACUUUGAAUGGAUAAAGUGCUAUUAUAGUGGAAGCUGAAAUGUCAGUCAUUCUUUUUUUUUUAAUAUAGAGGAGAUGAAAAUUAACCUUUGAAAUCUGAAAGCCACCUUGGUUGCUGAAUAGAUUUUUUUUUUUUUUGUAUUAAAAGCUUUGUUCCACCUAGAGUUGGCUCAGCAGGGAUAAGAAAAGGUUACUUAGCCUUGGCAGGAAUUGCAUAAAUAUAGGGUAAUAUUAGUAAUUACAUACAUGAAGGCAGUAUCCUUUUGUGAUGCAUCAAUGAUGGCUUAGCAUAAGUUAUUUGAGCUUAUAUUGCCUAAAGAUACCUUGAAAUCUAGAAAAAUAAUAUAUUCCUUUCUGUUAGGGUCUAUAUGCUAGCAGGGAUGGAGCCUAAGCAAUAGGGGAGCCCAGAGUUACUUGGAACCAGGGGAUGCUUGUUUGAAUCAAGUGGAGAGCCUUUCUAGGGAGAAGACAUGGUUGCAUGGGAACAGAGGAGUCAGUGGAAUGCAGUGGUGAGUCCUCAUGGGAGUGAAAGCCAGGGUUACCUGGCAGGGUAGGAGGCUAGAUGGCAUGGAGUGACGAACCUUUUUGAGAAAGGAGAUGGGGAGCACCUGGAAGCAGAGCUGAGUGGAUACAGUGCACUGCAGAGUUCAGAUAGGAAGCCACAGUUUUUGGCAUUGAAGGUCACCGGAGUCAAUGAAAUCAGGAGGUUAGUGUCGGAAGCAAAGCAGGCAGCAGGAGCUUACUUCACACACACUUCUUUGGUUUUAAGUAAAUGCAUGAAUGCGUCAGUGGGGAAGAGUACUCUGAUUCAACCUCCCAUUGCCUCCAUGAGUUGGAGCGUGGCCUUGUGAAGAGAGGAGGCUGCUGCAUUCAUGGAAGCGCCACACUUGUUUUACAGUCAUGGAAGACCAGGGUUCUGAAAUGUGCAGAGGCUCAACGCAGCAGGAGACUCUUCGUUCUUGAAGGUCACCCUCUAUGAGUUGGAACUAGGCAACAUGGAUAGUAAUGUGGCUCAUCACUGUGCCGCCGCUCCCCUGCCCCCAUGUUUACACAUAAAGAAUACCUGGAGAGGGUUUUGAUCUAUUCCAAAAGGGUUCUCCUUGCACAUUCACAGUAAUUUGGGUAACUUAUUAAUGCUUGUAAAAGAGCAAAUUAUUGGAAUUC